AUGGCGGCCAGUCGCUAUGAUGCGGAAGGAAGGAACCGACUGAAAGAAGACGACACUCCACUCUUGAGCCACUCCGCCCAUGCCCCCCUCUUGCCAAUGGCCAGUCCGGCCCCGUCGCCCACCCAACCAGCCUCCAUGGCCUCCCCCGCGCCUUGGAUGACCCCAUGUACCUCAAAUGAUCUGAUCCAGUUUGAUCCACCUGAGCUCAGAAUCCCCUGCUGGCCAAACAAGGCUUCAAUGGCAUGGCUUAACAUAGAAAAUAUUACAGAUUACUAUGUUGGUUUCAUUGCAUCUUUGUUGACUCUAGAAACUACAUCUUCGUUGACAAGAAAUGUGGUCCCAAGAUCGGGUCGAGGAAUUCUACCACCACGGUCCACUCAAAGAAUCCUUAUAAAAAGGGUAGCAAAGAAAAAAGAAACAGAAAUAGAAGAUAUGAAGUGGGAGAACAAGUUCUUUGUGUGGAACAUGAUUGUGGCUGAAGGUGUCGCAGCUGACAACCUCAUUCCUUUCAUCACUGAAGAAGUGCCUAAGGAGUUGCCCAUAAAUCUUCAGAAGAUAAGCCCAUGUGCUUCAGACGAGCUGAUCCGAUUUGAUCCUCCUGAACUCUGCUUCCCAUUCUUGCCCAACAAGACAUCGCUGUCCUCGGUUAAUAUGGUCAACAUGACAGAUUACUCCAUCUAUUUUAAGAACUAUGUCUGGAAAAAAAAUAAGGCGUGGUACGACACAGAACCAAGAAAUGGAAUUGUGCCACCACGGUCUACUCAAAGACUUGUGGUGAAAAGAGAAACAAUGGAGAAUGAACUAGAAGAUAGCGAGAGCAAAGACAAGUGCUUCCUGCACAAUUUCAUUCUUACUCAAGAUGUCAAAGCCAGUGAUCUCCUUUUGUUGAAUGAAGAAGGUACGGAGUUGCCCAUUGACAACCUCUGUGAUUGCGUUGUGGAGAAUAAAGAUGAUUACUACAUCGGUUUCAAUACAUUUGGAAAGGAAAAUAAUGCGGCAUUGUACAACACCGAGCCACCGUGUGGAAUCCUGUCCCCACAGUCCACACAAGAACUUGUGGUAACAAGGAUACAAAAGGGAGAUGCACUCGAAGAAACGCAGUGCAAAGACAAGUACAUUGUGUGGAGCAGCUUUGUGAAUGAAGGUGUUAACACUGUCGACCUGAAAGGAUGCACAUCUGAGAAGGAGAGUAAAGAGUUACCAAUAGUUUUCAUGGAGACAAACUCAAAUGAGUUGAUUCAGUUUGAUCCUCCUGAGCUCUUUCUCCCCUUGGUUCCAAACAAGAGUGUGUUGUCCUCAGUGAACAUAGUCAACCGUACAGAUCACUUCAUCGGUUUCAGUAUAUGCACCAAGAAAAGCAAUUCAGCAAAGUAUUUCACAAAUCCGUCAGAAGGAAUUCUGCCACCACGGUCCACACAAUUACUUAUGGUAACAAGCAUAACAGAGGAAAAGGAACUGACAGACAUGCAUUGCAAAGACAAAUAUAUGGUCUGGAACGGCAUUGUGAGUGAAGAUGUCAAUGAUGUCAUUGAUAGCAUGUCUGAGAUAAAGAUUACCGAGUUGCCCAUUGUUCUUACAGAGACAAGUUCACCGGCCUCAUACGAGCUGAUCCAUUUUGAUCCACCCGAACUUUUCUUCCCCAUCUUACCAAACAAGAAGGUGCUGUCCUCAAUUAAGAUAGUCAACAUUACAGAUUACAAUGUUGGUUUCAAUACAUAUAGCAGGCCAACAAAUGCGGCAUGGUGUCACACAGAGCCAGCAAGAGGAAUCCUGCCACCACAGUCCACACAAAAACUUAUGGUAACAAGGGAACGAAAGGAAGAGGCAUCAGAACAUAUGCAGGUCAAUGACAAGUACUUUGUGUGGAACAGCAUUGUGACCGAAGGUGUCAAAGACAGCGACCUUGGUGAUUAUAUGGUUGAAAAAGAGAGCAAGGAGUUGCCUAUUGUCCUUAGCAAGGCAAGUUCACUGAUAAGCUCAUUAACCUCAAAUGAGUUGAUCCAAUUUGAUCCCGCUGAGCUCCACUUCCCCUUUUCGCCGCAGGAGAUAUUUCCGUUCACAUUUGAUAUAAUCAACAUUACAGAUUUCAAUGUUGCUUUCACUGUAUAUAGCGUGGUAAAGAAUGCAGCAAGACGUAAAGAAUCAUUUAUGGAAGGAAUUCUGCCACCAAGAUCCACUAGAGAAAGCACGAUGGUAUGGCAAUUGAAGGAAAUGGGACCAGGAGGCAAGGAGUACGAGUUAGAAGACAAGAUAUUUUUUUGGAGCCGUCUUGUGACUGAAGGUGUCGAAGCUAGAGACAUCAUUGGUUAUAUGAGUGAGGAAGAGAGUAAAGAAUUGCCCAUUUUUUUUCACAAGGAAAGUAGUCCAUGUGCCUCAAAUGAGCUGAUCCAAUUUGACCCGCCUGAGCUCAACUUCCACGUCCUGCCAAACAAGGUGUGCGUGUUCUCAGUUAAUGUAGUCAACAGUACAGAUUACUACGUGGCUUUUAGUACAGGUUUGCCAAACAGCAAAGUGGCCUGGAUUGUGAGCGAAGAUGCUGAACCAAGUGACAUCAUUGGUGACAUGGAUGGGGAUUUGACCACUUUUAGUAAGGAAUUGCGCAUUGUUCUUCACAUGACAAACUUAUGCACCUCAGACGAGUUAAUCCAGUUUGAUCCUCCCCAACUACGCUACCCCUUCUUUCCAAACAAGAAGGCACCCAUGGUGUGCUUACUUAAAAUAGUCAAUGUUACAGAUUAUUGUGUGGGUUUCCAUAUAUUGGCCCACCAUGGCAAUUCGGCGAGCUACACUGCAAAUACACCGGUAGGAAUCCUACCACCACGGUCCACACAGGAAAUAAGAGUAAAAAGGAUAUCAAAGGAAAGAGAGUCGGGAGACAUGCUGUGCAAAGACAUGGUUAGUGCGUGGAAUGGAAUUGUGACUGAAAGUAUCAAAGUUAGCGACAUCAAUCAUUUCAACGAUCUUGCAGAGAGCAAGGAGUUGCCCAUUGUUUUUACAAAGCAAUUUAUCCAGUCUGUAACAACUAUGUUUGUUGAUAAUGGACUUGCUAAUGAAUAUACACCAGGAAGACUAUAG
Molecule: ribosomal RNA, 3075 nt
Filed under: Triticum aestivum (bread wheat)
Lineage: Eukaryota; Viridiplantae; Streptophyta; Magnoliopsida; Poales; Poaceae
Description: partial small subunit ribosomal RNA
Source: RNAcentral